This 429-nucleotide ribosomal RNA is filed under the name Bacteroidota bacterium. RNAcentral describes it as "Bacteroidetes bacterium partial 16S ribosomal RNA". It matches the Rfam family "Bacterial small subunit ribosomal RNA", at positions 355 to 776 of the family's 1533-position model. Lineage: Bacteria; Pseudomonadati; Bacteroidota. The record is from RNAcentral.
UAGGGAAUCUUCGGCAAUGGGGGGAACCCUGACCGAGCAACGCCGCGUGAGUGAAGAAGGUUUUCGGAUCGUAAAGCUCUGUUGUUAAGGAAGAACGAGUGUGAGAAUGGAAAGUUCAUGCUGUGACGGUACUUAACCAGAAAGGGACGGCUAACUACGUGCCAGCAGCCGCGGUAAUACGUAGGUCCCGAGCGUUGACCGGAUUUAUUGGGCGUAAAGCGAGCGCAGGCGGUUAGAAAAGUCUGAAGUGAAAGGCAGUGGCUCAACCAUUGUAGGCUUUGGAAACUGUUUAACUUGAGUGCAGAAGGGGAGAGUGGAAUUCCAUGUGUAGCGGUGAAAUGCGUAGAUAUAUGGAGGAACACCGGUGGCGAAAGCGGCUCUCUGGUCUGUAACUGACGCUGAGGCUCGAAAGCGUGGGGAGCGAACAGG